GGUGGCGGCGGCGGCGGUGGCGGCGGCGGCGGGGCUGGCCGAACCGGGGACGGGGCCGGCGCUGCGCCUCGCCCUCAAGCCCCCGGGACCCCCGGGACCACCGGGGGCUGCAUGAAACCACCCCCCUUUCCCCCCCCCGGGACUCCCCCCCCCCAUAACUUAAUGUACAGAAUAAAAAAGAAAUCUAUGGGAUCGUUUCCCCGAGGGGCGCUGCGGAGGCGACCCCAAGAGCCUUUUUGUCACCCAAAGCUGCGUUCGGGACACUCGGGGGUCCCCCGGGACGUCCCCGCGCCCCACCCCGUGUCCUCAAAGCCCCCAGGGACGUCCCCGCGUCCCCUCCCCGCGCCCCCCCGGGGCUCAGCCCAGCUCCUCCCGGCUCUUGCCCACUUUUUUGGGCAUCUUGCGGGCGCCGGCGUCCUCCAGCUCCUUGGCCUGGUAGUAGUGCGGGGCCACCUCCAGCAGCCAGGCGCUGUCGAUCUCGAUCACCUGGGGACAGGGACGAGGACGGGAGGGGGACAGGCAGGGUCACCGGGGGGUCCCCGGUGCUGCCCCGGGUCCCUAAAACCCCAAAGUGCCACUCCCGUCCCCGUCCCACCACCCUCCUCGUCCCCGUACCCAUGCGGUUAUCCCCGUGGCCAUGCCGUUAUCCCCGUAACCGCACCCCUCAGCCCACCGCGGUGUCCCCAGCCCUGUCUCCUUUAUGUCCCCAUGUCCCUAAAACCCCAAAGUGCCACCCCAUCCCCGUCCCACCACCCUCCUCGUCCCCAUAACCAUGUUAUCCCUGUACCUGUGCCGUUAUCCCCAUACCCGUGCCGUUAUCCCCGUACCCGUGCGGUUAUUGCCGUAACCGCACCCCUCAGCCCACCGCGGUGUCCCCAGCCCCAUCCCCUUUUGUCCCCAUGUCCCUAAAACCCCAAAGUGCCACCCCAUCCCCGUCCCACCACCUUCCUUGUCCCCAUAACCAUGUGGUCAUCCCCAUAACCGUGCGGUUAUCCCUGUACCCGUGCCAUUAUCCCCGUAACCGUGCCGUUAGCCCCGUAACCAUGCGGGUAUCACCGUAACCGCACCCCGCAGCCCACCGCAGUGUCCCCAGCCCCGUCCCCUUUAUGUCCCCAUGUCCCUAAAACCCCAAAAUGCCACCCCAUCCCCAUCCCACCGCCCUCCUCGUCCCCAUAACCAUAUGGUUAUCCCCGUACCCAUGCCGUUAGCCCCGUACCUGUGCGGUUAUCCCCGUAACCGCACCCCUCAGCCCACCGCGGUGUCCCCAGCCCCGUCCCCUUUUUGUCC
Molecule: long non-coding RNA, 1287 nt
Filed under: Anser brachyrhynchus (Pink-footed goose)
Lineage: Eukaryota; Metazoa; Chordata; Aves; Anseriformes; Anatidae
Description: lncRNA (ENSABRG00000001061.1)
Source: RNAcentral